GACGUAGGGCGCGAGCGUUGCCCGGAAUUAUUGGGCGUAAAGAGCUCGUAGGCGGUGUGUCGCGUCGGCCGUGAAAACCUGGGGCUCAACUCUGGGCGUGCGGUCGAUACGGGCAUCACUUGAGUUCGGCAGGGGAGACUGGAAUUCCUGGUGUAGCGGUGAAAUGCGCAGAUAUCAGGAGGAACACCGGUGGCGAAGGCGGGUCUCUGGGCCGAUACUGACGCUGAGGAGCGAAAGCAUGGGUAGCGAACAGG
Molecule: ribosomal RNA, 254 nt
Filed under: uncultured bacterium
Lineage: Bacteria
Description: partial 16S ribosomal RNA
Rfam family: Bacterial small subunit ribosomal RNA
Source: RNAcentral